This 462-nucleotide ribosomal RNA is filed under the name uncultured bacterium. RNAcentral describes it as "bacterial SSU rRNA". It matches the Rfam family "Bacterial small subunit ribosomal RNA", at positions 28 to 524 of the family's 1533-position model. The record is from RNAcentral.
GAUGAACGCUGGCGGCGUGCCUAACACAUGCAAGUCGAACGAUCGCAAGAGAGUGGCGCACGGGUGAGUAACACGUAGCUAAUCUGCCCUCAAGACAAGGAUAACUGUAGGAAACUACUGCUAAUACUUGAUAAGCUUACGGACUGUAGAGGUCUAUAAGAAAGAUUUAUCGCUUGAGGAUGAGGCUGCGCGCCAUCAGCUAGUUGGUAAGGUAAUGGCUUACCAAGGCGACGACGGCUAGGGGACCUGAGAGGGUGACCCCCCACACUGGGACUGAGACACGGCCCAGACUCCUACGGGAGGCAGCAGUGAGGAAUAUUGCUCAAUGGGCGCAAGCCUGAAGCAGCGACGCCGCGUGGAUGAAGAAGGUUUUCGGACUGUAAAAUCCUUUUCUGUGUGACGAGAGUGGACGGUAGCACAGGAAUAAGUCUCGGCUAACUACGUGCCAGCAGCCGCGGUAAU